Molecule: long non-coding RNA, 1610 nt
Filed under: Homo sapiens (human)
Lineage: Eukaryota; Metazoa; Chordata; Mammalia; Primates; Hominidae
Description: HSALNT0123185
Source: RNAcentral
UGGGUGCGGUGUCUCACGCUUGCAGUCUCAGUGCUUUGGGAGGCUGAGGUGGGAGGAUUGCUUGAACCGAGGAAUUUGAGACUAGCCUGGGCAAUAUGGUGAGAUGCCAUCUCUACAAAAUAACAGUAAUAAUUUUAAAAAGCCAGGCAUAGUGGCACACCUGUAGUCCUAGCUCUUUGGGAGACUGAGGUGGUAGGAUUGCUUGAGCCCAGGAGUUUAGGGUUACAGUGAGCUGUGGUCGCACCACUGCACUCUAGCCUGGGCGACAGAGUGACACUGUCUCCAAAGAACAAAAAAGGUGGUAGGGAUGCUGAUAAUAUGGCACACUUGCUUUUUGAAACAGACUUAAAAACCUCACGUGUGAUAACGAAAAAUGAGUUGGCUUUUAUAAGUAAUAUUCCUCAGACUUAUAACCAAUAAAUUGAAAAUGAGUUUGGAAGUUUUGAAUACUGCCAAUGAAAAGUAAUAGUGUGAGCCACUGCACCCAACUGUGAACAGUUUGGGGACCACAUCUGGCCCAGCCACUUGACAGCAUUUGACAGAGGUGAUCUCUGAUGGACUUUCACUUGGCUCUCAUGACGCCUCACUUGCUUGAGUGUCUGCUGAGUUCCCUGGUGGUUUCUUAGUCUCUUUUGCAGGUUCCUCCUCAUCUUGAUCCUCUCCUCUGACUACAGUCACUCCCUUGGUGAGCUCCUCUAGUCUCACUUUUUUUGAGACGGGCUCUCGCUGUCACCCAGGCUGGAGUGCAGUGGUGCGCUCUCAGCUCACUGCAACCUCCACCUCCUGGGUUCAAGCGAUUCUCCUGCCUCAGCCUCCCAAGUAGCUGGGAUUACAGGUGCCCACCCCCAUGCCCAGCUAAUUUCUGUGUUUUUAGUAGAGACAGGGUUUCACCAUGUUGGCCAGGUUCAUCUCGAACUCCUGACCUCAGGUGAUCCUCCUGCCUUGGCCUCCCAAAGUGCUGGGAUUACAGGUGUGAGCCACUGUGCCCAGCCUUGUUAUUAUUUUUGAGACAGGAUCUAGCUCUGUUGCCCAGGCUGUAGUGCAGUGGUGCAAUCACAGCUCAUUACAGCCUCGACCUCCUGGGCUCAAGCAAUCCUCCUGCCUCAGCCUCCUGAGUAGCUGGGACUACAGGCACAUGCUACCAUGCCCAACUAAUUUUUCGAUUUUUUGUAGAGAUGAGGUUUCAUUCAUGUUGCCCAGGCUGGUCUCAAACUCCUGCGUUCAAGGGAUCCUCUGGCCUCGGCCUCCCAAAGUGUUGGAAUUACUGGUGUGAGCCACUGGGCCCGGCCACUAGGGUCUUUCUAAUGGCCUCCAACACUCAAGGGAUCCAGCCCUGUGACCUCUGAGCUCGUGUCCCACCACACUCUCCCUCAUGUCUGCUUCUGCCACUGGCUUCUGCUGCCCUCAGCACAUACCAGGCAUGACCUUGCCCAGGGCCUCGUAAUUUGUUCCUAUGGAGGGAUUUUCCCCAGAAGCCAGCUGACUUCCUCACUUCCUUCAAUCUUUUGUGACAAGCUAUUUUGCAAGAGUGACAAGGUCAUUCACAGCAAUGUUUGUCAAUCUCAGAACAAAUUAAAAAAGAAAAUCCAAACGUGAUAUGUGGAAAUUAA